GUGGGGAAUCUUGCGCAAUGGGGGAAACCCUGACGCAGCGACGCCGCGUGCGGGAUGAAGGCCUUCGGGUUGUAAACCGCUUUCAGCAGGGACGAUUGUGACGGUACCUGCAGAAGAAGCCCCGGCCAACUACGUGCCAGCAGCCGCGGUAAUACGUAGGGGGCGAGCGUUGUCCGGAUUUAUUGGGCGUAAAGAGCUCGUAGGCGGUUUGGUAAGUCGGGUGUGAAAUCUCCGCGCUCAACGCGGAGGGGCCACUCGAUACUGCCAUGACUCGAGUCCGGUAGGGGAGUGUGGAAUUCCCGGUGUAGCGGUGAAAUGCGCAGAUAUCGGGAGGAACACCAGUAGCGAAGGCGGCACUCUGGGCCGGUACUGACGCUGAGGAGCGAAAGCGUGGGGAGCGAACAGGAUUAGAAACCCCUGUAGUCC
RNAcentral lists this ribosomal RNA (426 nucleotides) under uncultured bacterium. Its description in RNAcentral is "bacterial SSU rRNA". It matches the Rfam family "Bacterial small subunit ribosomal RNA", at positions 354 to 796 of the family's 1533-position model. The record is from RNAcentral.